RNAcentral lists this long non-coding RNA (1007 nucleotides) under Macaca mulatta (Rhesus monkey). RNAcentral describes it as "lncRNA (ENSMMUG00000060135.1)". The record is from RNAcentral. Lineage: Eukaryota; Metazoa; Chordata; Mammalia; Primates; Cercopithecidae.
AAGGGCAAUCCUACAAGGGUGAUGCCAGUCUUAGGCCCAACACAGAGAUGCAGAAACUGAGGCUUGGAGAAGACAAGUAAACAAUUCAGCAAAUAAAUAUGAGGGUAAAUAAAUAUGGCUGUAUCUCCAACUAUACUGUAAGCUCUCUGAGAGCAGAACUUGAAUCUCUUACUCAGCUGUAUUUCUCAAGUGCUUAAUAUGGUAUAUGGCUAGGCUGAUCCCACAUCUUAGUUUGCCUAGUAUAGUCAUUUAAUUUAACCUGUUAUUACAACACGAUUAUGAGUGGUAUCACCUUUUAUUCUCAAAUGUGUCCAGAUUUCCCAAUGUUUGGCUCCUAGUGAUGACCACAUUAAUGUUUGUUAAACUGAACAGGACUGGCCCAAGGUAUAGUAAGAAGUUGAAAUUAAGAAGUAGACCUCAUCCCAACAUCAGAACUCUUUCCAAUUAAUUUCUGAAGGGAAUUAAUCAGUUAUGAGUAAACUUCAUUUUCAAGCCAUCAAGGAAAAGCAAACCACAGAUAAUCUGACUCCCUUAGCUGGAAAGAGACCCUUUCCUUACCUACUUCAUCACAGUCGUUUUAGAGAUAAAGAAUCUGCACCCAGAAAGGUCAACUGAGUUGUGAUGAACAAGAGAAAAAUCCAUGGCUGGAAAUCUGUCUUCCACACCAAGCCUAAAGCUCACCCUGGCACUCGUGGACCUCAACUUGCCAUCCUCCUUCAUGACUCCAGAUAUUCACGGAAUACUAUCUUGGUGUCAGGCAAAGUCCUGGGACCUGCAAGGCCUCCAUCAUUCCACUGGGAGAGUCAAGCGAGGAAGACACAGCAGUCCUUAAAAGAUUCCCUUGUGCUGUGAUACUUUUCUGCCACAAAACCUGCAAAUAUAUUACAUGUUUUUCAUUACUGUAGAAGAUAGGCAGCAUCCUAUGUUGGAGGACUUAAAGAAGGCUUCAUUGAGGAAGUGACUUUGAACCUGUUUACUGAAGGAUGAGCAAAAGAUUUCUGUGAAAG